GGUUAAGAGUGAGGUUGGAUUAAUUUAAGAUUUUGAUGACACCUUCUUGGCAUUUUUUCAAGAUGUACUCGUGCACAUUCUGUGUUCAUGCCACAUUCCAGGAAAACAUGAGGAAAGACAGACAAAGAACAACUCUGCUAUGAACUCACCUUUUCUAUAUUCUUAAAAGCUAGUUUUUAUAAAAUGUAGUUCUCUGAAAAGUAUGCCGCUGAGAGGAUAACAGAAUGAAAAAAAUCAAGGUCA
Molecule: long non-coding RNA, 243 nt
Organism: Lemur catta (Ring-tailed lemur)
Lineage: Eukaryota; Metazoa; Chordata; Mammalia; Primates; Lemuridae
Exons: 3
Source: RefSeq, a predicted model, not a curated record